GUCGGAUAGCGCAGUAGUUAGCGCUCCGGAGUCGUAUUUGCAAGGUCACUGGUUCGAGUCUAGUGUAUGACA
This is a non-coding RNA of Gigaspora rosea, 72 nucleotides long. The record is from the annotation of a GenBank genome assembly. Lineage: Eukaryota; Fungi; Glomeromycota; Glomeromycetes; Diversisporales; Gigasporaceae.